Molecule: ribosomal RNA, 515 nt
Filed under: uncultured bacterium
Lineage: Bacteria
Description: partial 16S ribosomal RNA
Rfam family: Bacterial small subunit ribosomal RNA
Source: RNAcentral
GAUGAACGCUGGCGGCGUGCCUAAUACAUGCAAGUCGAGCGAAUGGAUUAAGAGCUUGCUCUUAUGAAGUUAGCGGCGGACGGGUGAGUAACACGUGAGUAGCCUGCCCAUAAGACUGGUAUAACUCCGGGAAACCGGGGCUAAUACCGGAUAACAUGUUGAACCGCAGGGAUGGAAAUUGUAAGGCGGAUUCGGCUGUCACCUAUGGAUGGCACCACGUCGCAUUGGCUAGGUGGUGAGGUAACGGCUCACCAAGGCAACGAUGCGUAGCCGACCUGAGAGGGUGAUCGGCCACACUGGGACUGAGACACGGCCCAGACUCCUACGGGAGGCAGCAGUAGGGAAUCUUCCGCAAUGGACGAAAGUCUGACGGAGCAACGCCGCGUGAGUGGUGAAGGCUUUCGGGUCGUAAAACUCUGUUGUUAGGGAAGAACAAGUGCUAGUUGAAUAAGCUGGCACCUUGACGGUACCUAACCAGAAAGCCACGGCUAACUACGUGCCAGCAGCCGCCGUAA